RNAcentral lists this ribosomal RNA (253 nucleotides) under uncultured bacterium. RNAcentral describes it as "partial 16S ribosomal RNA". It matches the Rfam family "Bacterial small subunit ribosomal RNA", at positions 524 to 776 of the family's 1533-position model. The record is from RNAcentral.
UACGAAGGGGGCUAGCGUUGCUCGGAAUUACUGGGCGUAAAGGGCGCGUAGGCGGACAGUUUAGUCAGAGGUGAAAGCCCAGGGCUCAACCUUGGAAUUGCCUUUGAUACUGGCUGUCUUGAGUUCGGGAGAGGUGAGUGGAAUGCCGAGUGUAGAGGUGAAAUUCGUAGAUAUUCGGCGGAACACCAGUGGCGAAGGCGACUCACUGGCCCGAUACUGACGCUGAGGCGCGAGAGCGUGGGGAGCAAACAGG